CCAGACUCCUACGGGAGGCAGCAGUGGGGGAUAUUGCACAAUGGGGGAAACCCUGAUGCAGCGACGCCGCGUGAGUGAGGAAGUAUUUCGGUAUGUAAAGCUCUAUCAGCAGGGAAGAAAAUGACGGUACCUGAGUAAGAAGCCCCGGCUAACUACGUGCCAGCAGCCGCGGUAAUACGUAGGGGGCAAGCGUUAUCCGGAUUUACUGGGUGUAAAGGGAGCGUAGACGGCAGUGCAAGUCUGGAGUGAAGGGCGGGGGCUCAACCCCCGGACUGCUCUGGAAACUGUGCGGCUGGAGUGCAGGAGAGGUAAGUGGAAUUCCUAGUGUAGCGGUGAAAUGCGUAGAUAUUAGGAGGAACACCAGUGGCGAAGGCGGCUUACUGGACUGUAACUGACGUUGAGGCUCGAAAGCGCGGGGAGCAAACAGGAUUAGAUAC
This 437-nucleotide ribosomal RNA is filed under the name uncultured bacterium. RNAcentral describes it as "bacterial SSU rRNA". It matches the Rfam family "Bacterial small subunit ribosomal RNA", at positions 331 to 785 of the family's 1533-position model. The record is from RNAcentral.